This is a long non-coding RNA of Orbicella faveolata, 177 nucleotides long. The record is from RefSeq and is a predicted model, not a curated record. NCBI's taxonomy places the organism in Eukaryota, Metazoa, Cnidaria, Anthozoa, Scleractinia, Merulinidae.
CGAUGUGAACAGAGUCUUUUGAACAAAACAGACGGAUCAGCAAGCUUUAUGCAAGGAAAUACUCAAGUGAUUGCGGCAGCAUAUGGUCCCGCAGAGGUCAGAGCAAGCAAAGAACUCAUAGAUAAAGCUACCUUGGAAGUUGUUUUCAGACCCAAAGUUGGUAUGCCAGGUGAGCAG